AGAGUUUGAUCCUGGCUCAGGAUGAACGCUGGCGGCGUGCUUAACGCAUGCAAGUCGAACGAUCCUUCGGGAUAGUGGCGGACGGGUGAGUAACGCGUGGGAAUCUGCCCUCAGGAGGGGGAUAACGGCUGGAAACGGCCGCUAAUACCCCAUAUGCCGAGAGGUGAAAUGAAUUUCGCCUGAGGAUGAGCCCGCGUCUGAUUAGCUAGUUGGUGGGGUAAAGGCCUACCAAGGCAACGAUCAGUAGCUGGUCUGAGAGGAUGAUCAGCCACACUGGGACUGAGACACGGCCCAGACUCCUACGGGAGGCAGCAGUGGGGAAUUUUCCGCAAUGGGCGAAAGCCUGCCGGAGCAACGCCGCGUGAGGGAUGAAGGCCUCUGGGCUGUAAACCUCUUUUCUCAAGGAAGAAGACCUGACGGUACUUGAGGAAUAAGCCACGGCUAAUUCCGUGCCAGCAGCCGCGGUAAUACGGGAGUGGCAAGCGUUAUCCGGAAUUAUUGGGCGUAAAGCGUCCGCAGGCGGCCUUGUAAGUCUGUUGUUAAAGCGUGGAGCUCAACUCCAUUUAAGCAAUGGAAACUACAAGGCUGGAGUGUGGUAGGGGCAGAGGGAAUUCCCGGUGUAGCGGUGAAAUGCGUAGAUAUCGGGAAGAACACCAGUGGCGAAGGCGCUCUGCUGGGCCAUAACUGACGCUCAUGGACGAAAGCCAGGGGAGCGAAAGGGAUUAGAUACCCCUGUAGUCCUGGCCGUAAACGAUGAACACUAGGUGUCGGGGGAAUCGACCCCCUCGGUGUCGUAGCCAACGCGUUAAGUGUUCCGCCUGGGGAGUACGCACGCAAGUGUGAAACUCAAAGGAAUUGACGGGGGCCCGCACAAGCGGUGGAGUAUGUGGUUUAAUUCGAUGCAACGCGAAGAACCUUACCAGGGUUUGACAUCCUGCGAACCCCUGAGAAAUCGGAGGGUGCCUUCGGGAGCGCAGAGACAGGUGGUGCAUGGCUGUCGUCAGCUCGUGUCGUGGGAUGUUGGGUUAAGUCCCGCAACGAGCGCAACCCACGUCUUUAGUUGCCAGCAUUCAGUUGGGCACUCUAGAGAGACCGCCGGUGAUAAACCGGAGGAAGGUGUGGAUGACGUCAAGUCAUCAUGCCCCUUACAUCCUGGGCUACACACGUACUACAAUGCUACGGACAAAGGGCAGCAAGCUCGCGAGAGUUAGCAAAUCCCAUAAACCGUGGCUCAGUUCAGAUCGUAGGCUGCAACUCGCCUACGUGAAGGAGGAAUCACUAGUAAUCGCAGGUCAGCAUACUGCGGUGAAUACGUUCCCGGGCCUUGUACACACCGCCCGUCACACCAUGGAAGUUGGCCAUGCCCGAAGUCGUUACUCCAACCUUGUGGAGGAGGACGCCGAAGGUGGGGCUGAUGACUGGGGUGAAGUCGUAACAAGGUA
Molecule: ribosomal RNA, 1442 nt
Filed under: metagenome
Description: bacterial SSU rRNA
Rfam family: Bacterial small subunit ribosomal RNA
Source: RNAcentral